UGCCUUAAACUAAUGAGUAAGGAAAACAAAGCGUCCGGUGAGAACCGGUCGCGGCGCUAAUCGUAAAACACAAAAUUGGCGCAAUAAUUUAUGGAGGGGUUAUAGGCUGGCCGAUGUGUUGACGCUGCUUACUUUUGCAGAACUCACCUCGUGCGGGCCUCCCUACACCCAUCCC
This 175-nucleotide small nuclear RNA is filed under the name Arabidopsis thaliana (thale cress). RNAcentral's name for it is "ncRNA (U12)". It matches the Rfam family "U12 minor spliceosomal RNA". Rfam says of the family: Although the U12 sequence is very divergent from that of U2, the two are functionally analogous. Lineage: Eukaryota; Viridiplantae; Streptophyta; Magnoliopsida; Brassicales; Brassicaceae. The record is from RNAcentral.